This 24-nucleotide non-coding RNA is filed under the name Arabidopsis thaliana (thale cress). Lineage: Eukaryota; Viridiplantae; Streptophyta; Magnoliopsida; Brassicales; Brassicaceae. The record is from RNAcentral.
ACGUAGUUAGUAAGCGCCUCCACC